RNAcentral lists this ribosomal RNA (497 nucleotides) under uncultured bacterium. RNAcentral's name for it is "partial 16S ribosomal RNA". It matches the Rfam family "Bacterial small subunit ribosomal RNA", at positions 28 to 507 of the family's 1533-position model. The record is from RNAcentral.
GACGAACGCUGGCGGCGUGCCUAAUACAUGCAAGUCGAGCGAACAGAUGAGGAUCUUGCGCCUCUGACGUUAGCGGAGGACGGGAGAGUAACACGUGGAUCACCUCCCUAUCUGACUGGGAUAACUUCGGGAAACCGGCGCUAAUACCGUAUAAUAUAUUGCACCGCAGGGUGCGUUAGUAAAAGUCGGCUUUUCUGUCACUUAUAGCUGGAUCCGCGCCGGUUUAGCUAGUUGGUACGGUACAGGCUUAGCAAGGGGAGGAUGCGUAGCCGACCUGAGGGGGGGGUCGGCCACACUGGAGCUGGGACGCGGUCCAGACUCCUGCGGGAGGCAGCAGUCUGGAAUCGUCCGCAGUGGGCGAAAGCCUGGCGGAGCGGCGCCGCGUGUGUUAUGGAGAUCCUCGGAUCGUAAUACUCUGUUAUUAGUUAAGAACAAAUGUGUAAGUAACUGUGCACGUCGUGACGGUACCUGGUCAAAAAGCCCCGGCUAACUACGUG